RNAcentral lists this ribosomal RNA (260 nucleotides) under uncultured bacterium. Its description in RNAcentral is "partial 16S ribosomal RNA". It matches the Rfam family "Bacterial small subunit ribosomal RNA", at positions 94 to 354 of the family's 1533-position model. The record is from RNAcentral.
AGUGGCGGACGGGUGAGUAACGCGUGGGUAACCUGCCCCAUACAGGGGGAUAACAGAUAGAAAUGUCUGCUAAUACCGCAUAAGACCACAGCGCCGCAUGGUGCAGGGGUAAAAACUCCGGUGGUAUGGGAUGGACCCGCGUCUGAUUAGCUAGUUGGUGGGGUAAAGGCUCACCAAGGCGACGAUCAGUAGCCGACCUGAGAGGGUGACCGGCCACAUUGGGACUGAGACACGGCCCAAACUCCUACGGAAGGCAGCAG